This 80-nucleotide small RNA is filed under the name Flavobacterium sp. ov086. RNAcentral's name for it is "Flavo-1 RNA". It matches the Rfam family "Flavo-1 RNA". The record is from RNAcentral. Lineage: Bacteria; Pseudomonadati; Bacteroidota; Flavobacteriia; Flavobacteriales; Flavobacteriaceae.
UCAUAGCCCUGAUAGUAGCGGUAUCCUUUUUAUCUGCUUUUUUGCAGAUGAAAAGAUACAAGCGGAUAGCAGGAAUAGCU